This 327-nucleotide ribosomal RNA is filed under the name Triticum aestivum (bread wheat). Its description in RNAcentral is "partial small subunit ribosomal RNA". The record is from RNAcentral. Lineage: Eukaryota; Viridiplantae; Streptophyta; Magnoliopsida; Poales; Poaceae.
AUGUCUUCACCGCCACCCAACCCGUCUCUCCCGCUGCCCGUCACCUCGUCGCCUCCGGCGACCACCAUGACCGUCGCCCCGCUCCUGCCCGCGUCGGGCUCCUUCGUCGCGCCCGCCCCCUCCGUCCUCACCCUGGAGGAGGUGUCCGGGGCGCUGCGAGACCUAACCCAGGCGGUCCAAGAGAUUCGCCUGUUCUUCGUCGGGUCCUACGGGCCGUACCCGGCUGCGCCGCCCAUUGCCGCCACCGCGCCGCCGUGGCUGCUGCCGCACCAGGCGGCCUCCGCCGGGCCACUGCUCAGCCUGUGCAAAACCGAACUGAAACCAUAA